UGUCAAGGGAGUAAAGUUGGCCGUGUCGUUUUCAGCUAUCGUAAACAAACGUGGAAUAAGUCGAGGUUCUUGUUCCAACAUACGCUGAAAAAAUUCACCUUUACUUUCAGUCAAAGCAUCAAGACCUAUAAAUGAUUUUUCACCAACGUAUGUAGCAUUCGUUCCUACUACUUUCAGUAGAUACGUACCACAAUGCGGACCGCGUAGUCUACUACACUCAAGAUCAGUGAGGUUGAAGCGUAUGGCGGUAGCGAGCCCAAUGAAGAAGAGAAAUAUUAAGUUUUU
Non-coding RNA from Schizosaccharomyces pombe (fission yeast), 285 nucleotides. The record is from the annotation of a GenBank genome assembly. Lineage: Eukaryota; Fungi; Ascomycota; Schizosaccharomycetes; Schizosaccharomycetales; Schizosaccharomycetaceae.